Molecule: ribosomal RNA, 400 nt
Filed under: uncultured archaeon
Lineage: Archaea
Description: bacterial SSU rRNA
Rfam family: Archaeal small subunit ribosomal RNA
Source: RNAcentral
UAAUACCGGCAGCUCGAGUGGUAGCCGCGAUUAUUGGGCCUAAAACGUUCGUAGCCGGAUAAGUAAGUCUUUGGUUAAAUCCUGCGACUUAACCGUGGGAAAUCUAGAGAUACUGCUUGUCUUGAGACCGGGAGAGGUUGGAGGUACUCCCAGGGUAGGGGUGAAAUCCUGUAAUCCUGGGGGGACCACCUGUGGCGAAGGCGUCCAACUGGAACGGGUCUGACGGUGAGGGACGAAACCUAGGGGAGCGAGCCGGAUUAGAUACCCGGGUAGUCCUAGGCGUAAAUGAUGCGAGUUAAGUGUGGGGGCAUCUACGAGAUGGCCCUGUGCUGUAGGGUAGCCGUUAAACUCGCUGCCUGGGGAGUACGGUCGCAAGGCUGAAACUCAAAUGAAUUGACGG